Molecule: ribosomal RNA, 304 nt
Filed under: uncultured bacterium
Lineage: Bacteria
Description: partial 16S ribosomal RNA
Rfam family: Bacterial small subunit ribosomal RNA
Source: RNAcentral
CAGCAGUAGCCACGGUAAUACAGAGGGUGCGAGCGUUAAUCGGAUUUACUGGGCGUAAAGCGUGCGUAGGCGGCUAAUUGAGUCGGAUGUGAAAUCCCCGAGCUUAACUUGGGAAUUGCAUUCGAUACUGGUUAGCUAGAGUGUGGGAGAGGAUGGUAGAAUUCCAGGUGUAGCGGUGAAAUGCGUAGAGAUCUGGAGGAAUACCGAUGGCGAAGGCAGCCAUCUGGCCUAACACUGACGCUGAGGUACGAAAGCAUGGGGAGCAAACAGGAUUAGAUACCCCAGUAGUCCCUGUCUCUUAUAA